Molecule: small nuclear RNA, 107 nt
Organism: Peromyscus maniculatus bairdii (prairie deer mouse)
Lineage: Eukaryota; Metazoa; Chordata; Mammalia; Rodentia; Cricetidae
Source: Ensembl
GUGCUUUCUUUGGUAGUACAUACACCAAAACAUGAACAAUAUCAAAGAGAUUAGUAUGUCAUCUCUAGAUGGAUGACAGUCAAAUUUGUAAAGGGUUCUCUAUUUUA